UAUUUGCUUAUGUUUUGCUGCUUAUGUAAUAUGCUGUUAGAAAACAGAUGCUGGUCAAGGUCAAGGUCUUUCCCCUCUUCCAGGUGAUUAUACAACUUUCUUCUGUAUUGUAUUAUUAAGAUGCUGGUAAUUUGGAAAAUAAGUGGAAUUCAGUUCCAGAGCAAAUGUCACUUUCCUUUCAAAAGCUGGGAGAAUAAGGUACACAAGGAACAACAACUACUACAAAAACAUUUUUAGGCCCCUUCCAUACAGCUGAACAAAACCCCACAUUUUCUGCUUUGAAUUAGAACAUAUGGCAGUGUGGACUCAGAUAACCCAGUUCAAAGCAAAUAUUGUGGGAUUUUCUGCCUUGAUAUCCUUGGUUAUAUGGCCGUGUGGAAGGGCCCUUCGUUUUCUUCCCCUAUAGUCUAGCUAUGAGGGGAAGGUAAGGCAUUGCCCCGGAUACAAAUUAUCCCCCAAUACAAAUUCUUUCCCCACCGUCAAUGAGAUUUCUGUCCUCAAUUUUCUAGUGGUGCUGUAUAAUGGGGGUUUCUUUGCCAUAUUUUUGGGGGGUCAGGUGGGGAUUGCCUUUGCCUUUCUCUGGGGAUGAGAAUGUGUGACUUUCCUAAGGUACCCAGAGGGUUUCCAUGGCUGAGAAGGGAUUUGAACCCUGGUCUCCAGAGUUGUAGUCCCACCCUCAAAUCACAACAGUACAUUGGCUCCCAUAGGAUGGAUAUAGGAGUGACAAAUUCUCAAUGUGUUUUUCUUACUUUUUUCUGUGACAUAUCAGAGAGCACAUAAUAAUUAGACUAUCAACUGGGCCUAAGUGUGCAUAUCUUUGCAUUUCAUCAUAAUCUAUAAAGGAAAAAGGCACUGUCCAAGACCUUGAAAGUAAAAUAAUGUGUCUUGGCAGCAUAUAGCUAUUAGUCUGUCGUGGUUGUUAAUCAAUUUAAUUAGGCAAUGUUGUGCAACAAAGAAGGAAAAGAUUAUUUCCUUUUUAAAUGGUGACUUGGACUGUUGAAUAGACUUUGCAGAAUAGAUAUAUAUAUAUACUAGCUGUGCCCGCCACGCGUUGCUGUGGCAAAGUAUGGUGGUAUGGGAAAUCAAGUAUUGAGGAAUUGGUGGUAGUUAAGGUAAAGGGUAAAGGUUUUCUCCUGACAUGAAGUCCAGUUGUGUGUGAGUGUGUGGGUUGGUGAUCAUGUGUAUUUGUAAGUUGAAGAGGUGGCAUUGUUCGGAGAGUCGUUGGAGGUCAUGUGGGUGGUAUGACUAUGGAGCGCCGUUAGUUUUGCGUCGGAGGAGUAGGUAUUGAUGUACUGAUCUUUGGAUGUUUUGGAAGUGUUGGGUUGGGAGAAGGUGGGGUAAUAGUGGGGGUUGACUCUGUUUUUCGAAUUCAAACCUGCGACGUUUCAUUGGAGAAGCUGAGUAGGUUAGUGGUUGAAGACGCUGCGUCAUUAGGGGAGAUUAUUUCCUAAAGGUUGUGAAUAUACAAUAUUUGUGAUUAUUGGGGUUUUUUGUCUGUUGGAGGUAAGUAUGAAUGGUGUAUAAGAGAUGUUGUAGGUGUUGUGAAUGGGUAUAGAGUACGUUAUCGUCGGUAUAUUAGAGUUGUAUAAGAGAUGUUGUAGGUGUUGUGAAUGGGUAGAGAUGACAUUAUUAUCAGCACAUUAGAAUUGUAUAAGAGAUGUUGUAGGUGUUUUGAAUGGGGAUAGAGUACUUUAUUAUCGGGAUAUUGCAGUUGUGUAAGAGAUGUUGUAGGUUUUCUGAAUGGGGAUAGAGUACGUUAUCAUCGGUAUAUUAGAGUUGUAUAAGAGAUGUUGUAGGUGUUGUGAAUGGGUAGAGAUGACAUUAUUAUCGGUAUAUUAGAGUUGUAUAAGAGAUGUUGUAGGUGUGUUUUUGAAUGUGGUGUGUUGUUAGAGUUAGUUUCCCUGGGGCAUGGGUUUGAAACGGGAUAUGGUGUUGUUUGGGUUGGUGUCUCAGUGUAGAUGGAGGGUAGACGUUGAUUCUAAGUGAAGAUAAUCCAGUUGAAAUAUGAUAUUGUGGAUCUGGGUGGUUGUGGGUUGGAGUGGGUGGGUGUUGUUUGUAUGAAUGGAGGAGGAAGGAGAGAGUGGGAGGGAGGAAGUGGAUGGUUAUGGUCUUGCUUUGAAAGGGUAGAGAUGGGGGGGGGUAUGGGUUGUAGUGGGUGGCCCUUGUUUGUAGGAAUGGAGGAGGAAGGGGAGGGGUGGGUGGGAGGAAAUGGAUGGUUGUGGGUUGUAUUGGGUGGGUUUUGUUUAGAUAAAUAGAGGAAGAAGAGUGGGAGGGGUUGGGUAGUGGAGUGUGUGGGAUGGGCCUUGAUUUUAUGAGUGGAGGAGGAGGAAUAAGAGGAGUGCAAGGGAACAAAUGGAGAGUUCGAAAGAGAAGAAGGGGGGCUAGGGAGUUGUUUUGGAGCCGAGGUCCAGGCUGUGAGGUGGGGGUGCGGCUUGCCCUUCCUUAUUUCUCGGUGGAAGCGUUCCGUGGGCCCAAGGAGGCCUGGUGGUGCCUCAGGACGGAGGAGGAGGAGGAGGAGGAGGAGGAGGAGGAGGAAGAGGAAGAGGAAGAGGAAGAGGAAGAGGGGGGGUGACGGGUAGGAGCAGCACCAUGUUUCCCGGCAGUGGGAGCGGCGGCGGCGCUCUUUCCUCCUCCGGAGGGGAAGGGGAGGUGUUGGAAGAAUCGGUGGUGGCAGGGAAGAGUUGGGGCACUCAGGCGGCUUGGGGAGGGCUGGUCUCUCUCCGCCUCCUCGCUUUGUCUGAGACCUGGCCCACAGCCACUACAAUAUGCUAGCCCCAGCCGGAAGGGGUUGGUGGAAAGAUGAGGCACUGCUGCAUUUCAAAGGACGUCAUUGCAAAGAACAUGGGUUCUGAUUUGCUUUAGAGUUGAGGACACCCAAAAUCUGCCCCCUGAGAUUGCAACGUCACCGUGCCUUAAUGGUAGAGCUGGUGCUAUUGCCCUGCCACCUCCAUUUAUGGUUGUGUCUGCAACAGAUCACUUCACCCUCACAGCAUGGAAGGGGCUGGCCUUCAUCUCGGCUGUGACGAAUGCUUGAAGUAAUCCAGCUGCUCCUCACUCAAUAACUGAGGCACUGCAGAAUUGCCACAUGAAAUAACUGCAGAUAGCAGAAUACCCUUUGAAAAUUACUGUGGCCUUGCACAGCUUAAAGGACAUUAUCCUCUUUGUACAUUCACCAGUUGCAUGCUUCUAAUACUAUAUUGUGAGAUGAUUCAAUGUCAUUCAGAAAUUCUGCUGAGCUCCUCGUAUUUUGCUGAUAGAGUUAAUCCUCAAGAAGUUUGUGAAUGGGAAGCACAAACCCAGAGUGAGUUAAAGGCAUUUGACCUUUAAACAAUGCUGAUGUUCGCUCUUUUAUUUAUUUAUUUUUUAUUUUUCUAAUCGUACUGACUCUGUUACCUUAAUAGGAUCUCAUUCUUAUUCUUGCUCUUCCUGUUUUCCUUCCUUCCUUUUUUUUUGUUUUUGUUUGAGGAGACUGUUUGGUGAGUACAGUUGAGAGUGAUGUAGUCUUCAUAUAAUGUAAGAAGAGGAUUAGAGAUUUCCUGACAGUGAAAGUAGCAGUGGGCAGGCAGGGAUUACAACAAUGGAUCUGACGUAGGAAAGGAGGAGUUUUGAUGCAUCUGAGAAGGUAACAAUUAUGGAGAAAGAGAGAAGGGCGAGGAAUGAAUGGAACAUAUAUUACCAGGGCAAGUCAUUAUUAUGUGUUGUAAGAGUCAUUUUCUUGUGCCGUAAUGCCAUAUUGUUCCAUCCUUUUUGCACAACUGAGACUGCAUUUAGACGCUGCCACAGCAAACGCAAUAAAUGUACGUAAACAAUCAAACUAUCAAUUGCAAUGGAAAGACACAGUUUUUUGUAAUUCGCGUAGCCAUUUCCUGAGGCUUUUUACUCCCUAGUGUGUUGAGAAUUCAGAUAUAUUUCUCUUUCCCUACAGAAUGAAGCAUUGAGCAACAGUAUAAUUUUUAUUCCUAUUUUCCUGAUAAAAUUUAUGACAGGGGAACAUUCUAUUAAUUGAUUUAAGUCUUCAGUAUACAAUAUACACCCCUAUUUCUUUUUAAUAAUACUAAUACAAAUACUACUACUAAUACUUUAUUUCUAGAUCGCCCUCUCUCCCCAGAGGGACUCAGGGUGGUUAACAUACAUAUAAAUGGCAAACAUUCAAUGCCACAUCUACUGUACUUCACUUAAUAUCAAAAAUAUAAAAUGACAAUAAAAUACUCAUUAUAAUAAAUAAUCCAAAUUAGAAUAUUUUUAAUAGCGGAGGUAUAUAUGCAAAGGCUGAAAAUACAAAUACAUACACACCGUCACAAGCAAAAUACAUAAAUAUAGAGGGAGGGGGACAGGCCAAUUUUGCUUGUGCAUUACAAACUGAAAUAAAUUAGAGAAAUUAUGUUGCCUACAACUUAUAUUAAGACCACACAUAGAUACAUAAGGUAAUAGGAAAAUGCGAUGUGUAUUACACCCAGCCUCAUAGUCUCAUGACAUAUGCAAACAUCUAAAUAUAUACAAUGAAUGCAGUGUUCUCCCUUCAGACAGGCCACAUCAGCAGAUUUGCCACCACAAGGGAUUUCAGAACUUGAUCCAACCACUUGUAGCAGACGUCAAAGAAGUGAACCUGGCCCUAAUUGACUGAUAAAUGACCACAGAGACUGAAAACACCACUGGGUAACUUGAGCUUCAGUCGUCACAUUGACCUCAUGGCAAAGCUGCAAAAAAAAAUUCGCUCAUUUUCUUCUUGUGAUCCUCAUACAUUCCGUUCAACAUACUCAAGAGGUUCUAUGAGAUUCCCAACUCAAGAGGUUUCAUCCUCUCAAGUUCUCUUCUGACUUAAAUUUCUUAGAGCCCUUCUACAUUGCCAUACAAUCCAGAAUAUCAAGGCAGAUAAUCCACAAUAUCUUCUUUGAACUGGAUUAUCUGAGUCCACACUGCCACAUAAUCCAGUUCAAUGUGUGCUUAUACAGCUAUGUGAAAGUAGCCUUAGAUAGUUUGUGACACUCAUUUUGUUUAAUUGCUGAAGUCAUUUUGAUGGAAUAAAGGUAUCACGUUGGUUUGUUGUCUCUGAAAAAUGGGAGACAUGGCACCACACAGACAGAUGUGUAGCAAAAGUGC
Molecule: long non-coding RNA, 5100 nt
Organism: Anolis carolinensis (green anole)
Lineage: Eukaryota; Metazoa; Chordata; Lepidosauria; Squamata; Anolidae
Exons: 3
Source: RefSeq, a predicted model, not a curated record